GGACCAGGCCAGUGGCUUUGUGAAUAAGUGGAACGAGUUGGAAAACUCGACCGAAGUGGGUGAUAGUCCCGUACACGUAGAAUAGCAGAAGUCCUUGAGUAGGGCGGGACACGUGAAAUCCUGUCUGAACAUGGGUCGACCACGAUCCAAGCCUAAGUACUCGUGCAUGACCGAUAGCGAACCAGUACCGUGAGGGAAAGGUGAAAAGCACCCCGACGAGGGGAGUGAAACAGUACCUGAAACCGGAUGCCUACAAACAGUUGGAGCCCAAGGUUUGUCCUGGGUGACAGCGUACCUUUUGUAUAAUGGGUCAGCGACUUAGUGUAUCGAGCAAGCUUAAGCCGGUAGGUGUAGGCGCAGCGAAAGCGAGUCUGAACAGGGCGUUCAGUUCGAUGCAUUAGACCCGAAACCAAGUGAUCUAGCCAUGAGCAGGUUGAAGGUACGGUAACACGUACUGGAGGACCGAACCCAUAUCUGUUGCAAUAGAUCGGGAUGACUUGUGGCUAGGGGUGAAAGGCCAAUCAAACUUGGAGAUAGCUGGUUCUCCGCGAAAUCUAUUUAGGUAGAGCGUCGACCGAAUACCCCGGGG
This 589-nucleotide ribosomal RNA is filed under the name Brucella melitensis ADMAS-G1. Its description in RNAcentral is "bacterial LSU rRNA". It matches the Rfam family "Bacterial large subunit ribosomal RNA", at positions 296 to 900 of the family's 2925-position model. Lineage: Bacteria; Pseudomonadati; Pseudomonadota; Alphaproteobacteria; Hyphomicrobiales; Brucellaceae. The record is from RNAcentral.